Molecule: long non-coding RNA, 120 nt
Organism: Amblyraja radiata (thorny skate)
Lineage: Eukaryota; Metazoa; Chordata; Chondrichthyes; Rajiformes; Rajidae
Exons: 3
Source: RefSeq, a predicted model, not a curated record
ACAGAUGAGACAAAGAUUAACUUAUAUCAGAGUGAUGGCAAGAGCAAAGUAUGGAGGAGAGAAGGAACUUCCCAAGAUCAAAAGCAUACCACCUAAACAUGGUGGUGGGUAUGGUAUGGC